CCUACGGGUGGCUGCAGUGGGGAAUAUUGCACAAUGGGCGCAAGCCUGAUGCAGCCAUGCCGCGUGUGUGAAGAAGGUCUUCGGGUUGUAAAGCACUUUCAGCGGGGAGGAAGGCGUUAAGGUUAAUAACCUUGUCGAUUGACGUUACCCGCAGAAGAAGCACCGGCUAACUCCGUGCCAGCAGCCGCGGUAAUACGGAGGGUGCAAGCGUUAAUCGGAAUUACUGGGCGUAAAGCGCACGCAGGCGGUCUGUCAAGUCGGAUGUGAAAUCCCCGGGCUCAACCUGGGAACUGCAUUCGAAACUGGCAGGCUAGAGUCUUGUAGAGGGGGGUAGAAUUCCAGGUGUAGCGGUGACAUGCGUAGAGAUCUGGAGGAAUACCGGUGGCGAAGGCGGCCCCCUGGACAAAGACUGACGCUCAGGUGCGAAGGCGUGGGGAGCAAACAGGAUUAGAUACCCGGGUAGUC
Molecule: ribosomal RNA, 465 nt
Filed under: uncultured Klebsiella sp.
Lineage: Bacteria; Pseudomonadati; Pseudomonadota; Gammaproteobacteria; Enterobacterales; Enterobacteriaceae
Description: bacterial SSU rRNA
Rfam family: Bacterial small subunit ribosomal RNA
Source: RNAcentral